RNAcentral lists this ribosomal RNA (370 nucleotides) under uncultured organism. Its description in RNAcentral is "bacterial SSU rRNA". It matches the Rfam family "Bacterial small subunit ribosomal RNA", at positions 526 to 896 of the family's 1533-position model. The record is from RNAcentral.
CAGAGGGUGCAAGCGUUAAUCGGAAUUAUUGGGCGUAAAGGGCUUGUAGGUGGUUAUAUAAGUUAGAUGUGAAAACCCUGGGCUUAACCUGGGACGUGCAUAUAAUACUGUAUAGCUAGAGUAUGGUAGAGGAGAGGGGAAUUCCUGGUGUAGCAGUGAAAUGCGUAGAGAUCAGGAGGAACAUCAGUGGCGAAGGCGCCUCUCUGGACUAAUACUGACACUGAGGAGCGAAGGCGUGGGGAUCAAACAGGAUUAGAUACCCUGGUAGUCCACGCGGUAAACGAUGAAUACUAGCCGAUGGGGGGUAGAUCCCUUAGUGGCGCAGCUAACGCGAUAAGUAUUCCGCCUGGGAAGUACGGCCGCAAGGUUA